GGCCCGGUGGCUCAGUUGGUUAGAGCGCCGCCCUGUCACGGCGGAGGUCGACGGUUCAAGUCCGUUCCGGGUCG
This 74-nucleotide transfer RNA is filed under the name Lachnospiraceae bacterium. Its description in RNAcentral is "tRNA-Asp". It matches the Rfam family "tRNA". From Rfam's summary of the family: Transfer RNA (tRNA) molecules are approximately 80 nucleotides in length. Their secondary structure includes four short double-helical elements and three loops (D, anti-codon, and T loops). The record is from RNAcentral. Lineage: Bacteria; Bacillati; Bacillota; Clostridia; Lachnospirales; Lachnospiraceae.